RNAcentral lists this long non-coding RNA (3261 nucleotides) under Sus scrofa (pig). RNAcentral describes it as "lncRNA (ENSSSCG00000058008.1)". Lineage: Eukaryota; Metazoa; Chordata; Mammalia; Artiodactyla; Suidae. The record is from RNAcentral.
CCAGCCUACACCACAGCCAUAGCAACACUGGAUCCAAGCUGUGUCUGCGACCUACACCACAGCUCACAGCAACGCUGGGUCUUUAACCCAUGGAGCGAAGCAAGGGAUUGAACUUCCAUCCUCAUGGAUACUAGACUAGACAAGUUCUUAACCUGCUGAGCCACACUGGGAACUCCAAAAGGGCUGUUUUUCUAACCCCUCCUGCUAGAAAUAGCUGGAGCAGGCUUCUUAGGGCCCAGCCAAUUCUGCAAGCUCCACACUGAUACUGCACAGAACUGCCGCCACCUGAAUUAGUCUUCAAAUUCUCCAAGCCUACCUGGGUGGAACUAAAAAGACCUUUAGUGAACAUGGCCACUGUCCUUCCCGCCCCAUGCACACAGCCCACCCUAACCCCCUGGGGAGAGCUGCCUGCAUGGGGGGGCUGUGUCAGUGGGGGUGAAGGGCGCUGGGGCCCCCAGGGCCUCACCAGUGUCCAUUUAUGUCCCUACUUCAGGCUUAGGCUCCAGGUAAGGAAUCCUGCGCCCAUUAAAGCAGCAGCAGCACCUUGGAGCUGGCACCUCACAUUCGAGUGUUUUAUCCUGGUCAUCAUCCUAGCACCCUUCUCUUGGUGAGCACACAGGCCCUGGACUCUAUGUCAGCCUGAUGGGACUUUCUGAUCCCUGACUUGCCUUAACACACAAAGGCUUCUCUCCAAGAGCUAGAAGGCUGGUGACAAGUUUCACUCAUCUGUCUACCAAGAGAAAUAUUUCAAAUGCUUUCUAUUUAUGGCUGUGAAGUCUUGUGAUGACCCAAGGCGAAGGUGGACUCUCUCUGUACAUUGAUUUUUAGUGCAGGCUUCGUGUCUGUAGGUAAUUAUUUUUACCAUGCAAGUGAAGCAAGAAAUUAAAUUGGGUUUCUUUAAUGAGGGGGAAAAACUAGCACCAGAAAUGAAAGAUCACAGGAGAACCUGAGCAGGUAACCUGUUUGCAAAUACUGUUCUUGCUUUGGGUCUCUGUGGCUGCUAAAAAGGCAUUUACCAUUUCUCCAUCCCCCUCCUCUCCCCAACACACACGCACAAGUGCACACAUGCAGCGCUGUUUUUGCUUUCUCUUGGUUUCUCAGGAAAGAAAAAUCCCCUAGGAUCCUCCUUUUCUGUCUGCCUGACAAACCCAAUAGGCAAGCUACAUUAAUCUAUAAGUGAAGGUAAUGGUUUUUCUGCUGUUUCAUACAUGCAAUGUCAAAUUCAUGGAUCCAGAGGCAAGAGGAGGCCCUGGGAGGGCAAAUCCUCCAUUUCAUGGUUACCCGCCAACCCGCAAUGCUGGAGGGAUGUCCAGGAGCCCUCUGGUUCCCCCACCCCAGGAGGGAAGAGACUGUUCCCCCCACCACUCGCCCUUCUCCACUUCAGGACUGCGGAAGACAAGGCUGGAUCUCUGAAAACAAAGGCCCAGAGAGUCAGAUUUCCACCCUUAUCCAAAGUGCCAUGGCAGCUUCAGACAUCCUGGCCAGAAGUGGCUUUGCAGGCUGCCCCUCCAGGAAGGAAGAUGAGCGCCCAGGGUCAGAAGGCUGUGAGGUUUCAUAGGCUCAGACACACCAUUACUGUGACCUCAGUCUCUCUUAUGCCAAAAUGGACAGGGAGCCGUCUGACUCAGUGCUGUUUCUAGAAACUCGCCAGGGAGCAUUUUCCUUCAAGUCAGCUCAGAACACAGGGACGUGGCCCAGCCAGGUCCUGCAUGGGGUGGCAACUGCAAAAUCCAUGGCACCCUGGCCCCCAUCAGGGCCACUCUCCUGAUUCUGAGUCACCAGUUAAGGCUAGGGGACAGGAGUUGCCCUUGUGGCUCAGCAGAUUAAGAAUCUGACUAGUAUCCAUGAGGGCACAAGUUUGAUCCCCGGCCUUGUUCAGCAGGUGGAGAAUCUCUGGUGUUGCCGUGAGGGGCGAUGUAGGUUGCAGAUGCAGCUCGGAUCUGGCAUUGCUGCAUGGUGCUGUGGGUCGGCGGAUGGAGCUCCGAUUCGACCCCUAGCCUGGGAACUUCCAUAUGCUGCAUGUGCAGCCCUGAAAAAUAAAGGGAGAGGGGGGCUGCUGCGGUCCUCCUGCUGACUUCUCCCCUGAUGCACCCUUGGCUCUUUCCUCCCUGACACCACCACUUCCAGCCCAGGACGGGGCAGUGAGCACGCACACUCCUGAGGGGCCAUGACCCCUCUCAGAGGGCCCGCGUGGUCCAUCAGAAGGAAACGUUUCACAGUGAGGCCGCUGCGGGCCUGGGAGAGCAGUCCCUGCCAGAGCCUGGCCUUCCUCCAACAAAACGGCCCGGUUCGCCCCUGCUGCAGAAACUUCUAGAACGAGAAGAGGCCCUUCCCAGCAUCCUGCUGCACCCAGGGCUAGGAGUGUCAAUUUAUACAGUGAGGGGAGCCAGCAACCCAGACCCCGCUUCUACGUCACCUGCCAGCUCUCGGUCUGGAGACUUGCCUGUGGUCACCAUGUGUCACCUCCCAGGAGAUGUUCCACUUUCCAAGCAGGUGAGACAGGAACCCUGUUAAAAAUAGCUGGCUGGACUCUUCACAGAGUCCCCCUUAUAAAGCAAAACCACUGGCGCUCCUCCGUCCCUGGCCUCAGGUUCCCUCUGGGACUGGGUGGGCCUGGUUCCCGCUGCACUGAACCAUCACCACCACCACCUCCCCCUGCCAGUACGCUCUGGUGUGGCACCCCAGCACAGUCCAGCCAGGAGUCACCGCUUGUCUGUGUCCCAGCCGCCCACAGGGCCCUUGGGCUGUGGCCACUGAGCAGCUUUUGCUCCCUGGGUUCACCUCGGUGACCGGGGGCCGCUGGGACGGUCCACACCCUCUCCCUGCCUUCCUGCUCCCUUUAGUGUUUGGCGGGCCAGGCUUUCUGGAGCUUUCUCAGAACUGUGGAUGCAUUCCCAGUGGAAAUCAUGACAUUUUCCGUUUCACAUUACGCACUCCACAAUGCCUCAGGAAAAGAGAGAGAGAAAGAGAAGGAAAACAAGGCCUGGGAGCCAGCCCCUCUCUGUCAACAGCCGGGCCAGGCCCUCUCUGUUUAUCCUGGAGUCACCUCCCGGAGCUUGACAGCCAGCGCUCCGUGUUUGCUCCUUCCGUCGGAGGACUGAUGAAUAGGUGACCUGCCUUUUCUAUCUGCUCCUCUGCUCCCGUGGCACCUCUGGGCCCAGGCAUGCCUCUCGACUUUGUUGUGUGUGGCUUUUUUUUUUUUUUUGAAACUUUACUUUCGACUGCCAUGGUAACUGCUGCAUGUUUGGCAAAGGGAAAGAG